RNAcentral lists this ribosomal RNA (500 nucleotides) under uncultured bacterium. RNAcentral describes it as "partial 16S ribosomal RNA". It matches the Rfam family "Bacterial small subunit ribosomal RNA", at positions 30 to 523 of the family's 1533-position model. The record is from RNAcentral.
AUUGAACGCUGGCGGCAGGCCUAACACAUGCAAGUCGAGCGGAUGACGGGAGCUUGCUCCUUGAUUCAGCGGCGGACGGGUGAGUAAUGCCUAGGAAUCUGCCUGGUAGUGGGGGACAACGUUUCGAAAGGAACGCUAAUACCGCAUACGUCCUACGGGAGAAAGCAGGGGACCUUCGGGCCUUGCGCUAUCAGAUGAGCCUAGGUCGGAUUAGCUAGUUGGUGGGGUAAUGGCUCACCAAGGCGACGAUCCGUAACUGGUCUGAGAGGAUGAUCAGUACCACUGGAACUGAGACACGGACCAGACGCCUACAGGAGGCAGCAGUGGGGAAUAUUGGACAAUGGGCGAAAGCCUGUUCCAGCCAUGCCGCGUGUGUGAAGAAGGUCUUCGGAUUGUAAAGCACUUUAAGUUGGGAGGAAGGGCAGUAAGCUAAUACCUUGCUGUUUUGACGUUACCGACAGAAUAAGCACCGGCUAACUCUGUGCCAGCCGCCGGCGUAA